CCAGUCACGAAUCCCACCGUAACGUCCCUCCCGUUAGGGCUCAACCACUCUGGCGGUGUUCACUUCCUGAUGGGCGGUGCGCGCACAGUUCGGAACGGUAUUCACCGCGACAUGCUGAUCCGCGAUCACUGCGAUUCCGACUUCACCGAGUUCGCAGACCGCGAUCCGGACUACGAUCACUUCGUUGGCGACUCAUUACGACGCAGUGACUACAGUGGGCGAGGUUCUCGGGACGCACCAUCUUCCUCCGGUUUGUCACCUACCGGGCAGGUUCAUUAGGAGCGUUCUUCGUAGCACCCAACGACGAGCUGACGACAGCACUCAGACAUUCCCAAAAUUUCUCGCAUCGGACUAAUCCACAUCAUCUCACGCUUAUGUCCUCGUCAAUUCUUCGAUGACCUACAUCGCACUCCUGCGGCGGCCAACUAGCUGUUGGGGCCUUCGGGCUUCCGGCAGCCAACGCGGGUGAAGCUGACCGCCUGGGGAGUACGGUCGCAAGAUUAAAACUCAAAGGAAUUGACGGGGACUCCGCACAAGCGGUGGAUGAUGGGAUUACCCGAUGCAACGCGAAAAAACCUUACCUACCCUUGACAUGUCUGGAAUCCCGGAAGAGAUUUGGGAGUGCUCGCAAGAGAACCGGAACACAGGUGCUGCAUGGCUGUCGUCAGCUCGUGUCGGAGAUGUUGGGUUGGGUCCUUAGCAACGAGCGCAGCAACCCUUGUCAUUAGUUGCUACGAAAGGCACUCUAAUGAGACUGCCGGUGACAAACCGAGGAAGGUGGGGAUGACGUCAAGUCCUCAUGGCCCUUGCGGUAGGGUUUUCACACGUCAUACAAUGGUCGGGACAGAGGGUCGCCAACUCCGGCGAGGGGAGCCAAUCCCAGAAACCCGAUCGUAGUCCGGAUCGCAGUUCAGUAACUCGACUGCGUGAAGUCGGAAUCGCUAGUAAUCGCGGAUCAGCAUGUCAGCGGUGAAUACGUUCCCGGGUCUUGCACACACCGCCCGUCACACCAUGGGAGUGGGUUUACCAGAAGUAUUAGCCUAACCGGGUAAGGAGGGCGAUUACCACGGUAGGAUUCAUGACUGGGGUGAAGUCGUAACAAGGUAGCUCCGAAAGAUACUGAUGCUCUGU
RNAcentral lists this unclassified non-coding RNA (1131 nucleotides) under uncultured Bordetella sp. Its description in RNAcentral is "partial 16S-23S ribosomal RNA intergenic spacer". The stretch from base 481 to 1122 matches the Rfam family "Bacterial small subunit ribosomal RNA", at positions 874 to 1520 of the family's 1533-position model. Lineage: Bacteria; Pseudomonadati; Pseudomonadota; Betaproteobacteria; Burkholderiales; Alcaligenaceae. The record is from RNAcentral.